Long non-coding RNA from Bubalus bubalis (water buffalo), 511 nucleotides. RefSeq lists it as uncharacterized. The record is from RefSeq and is a predicted model, not a curated record. The transcript is spliced from 2 exons. Lineage: Eukaryota; Metazoa; Chordata; Mammalia; Artiodactyla; Bovidae.
GCUGAGUUGGGACCAGGUGGACCAUGAUGUACGGUGUGAGGGCGACAAGACUGGAGGGAAAAGGGGAAGCUACCAUAUUGGUAAUUUAUUUUGGGCUUUUUUCCGAAGAGCAUUGGGAAGUCAUUUGAAAGGCUCAGAGCAGGAAAACACACCUGUGCUGUAAUGAGAAUGGAUUGAAAAAGGACUGGGUACAGCGAGAAGAGGCGGAAAGUUGUCGCCAACAUCCAGAUACUGGAAACCCGCUCCAGGUGGAAGAAGUUAUAACAAUGGUGUGCUGCCCACAAGCAUGUAGACCCCAGAGCAACUGGUUGAUGAUGCUGACUCCCACUUACGUCACCAGCAGCCCAGCAGAAGAACGUCCACGAGCUGAUCAUACCCUUUUUGAACAAUUACUAUAAAACUUCUCACUAUCUUGCCCCAGUUGGGAGACACAGUUUUGAGGGCAUUAGCCAGCUGUGGCCCCCUUUCCCUGGCAAAGCAAUAAAGCUCUUUUUUUCUACUUCACCCAAAA